Molecule: ribosomal RNA, 579 nt
Filed under: Eulimnogammarus verrucosus
Lineage: Eukaryota; Metazoa; Arthropoda; Malacostraca; Amphipoda; Eulimnogammaridae
Description: SSU rRNA
Rfam family: Eukaryotic small subunit ribosomal RNA
Source: RNAcentral
AGCCAUGCAUGUCUAAGUCCAAGCUGUGUUCACACGGCGAGACCGCGGACGGCUCAUUAAAUCAGUCGUGGUCCAAAUGGGCCAGUGCAAAUCCUACUUGGAUAACUGUGGUAAUUCCAGAGCUAAUACAUGCAACUGAUAUCCCGAAGGCGGUGUUGGGGCUUGCUUGCCUUGCGCUGCGCUGCUCUGACGGAUGCUUUUAUUAGACCAAGCCGCUGAGGACUUGAGGGUUCGCGCUCUCUUGUUUGACUCGUGUGAUGGUGACUCUGGAUAACCAAAUUCUGACAAGCGCACGUACUUCUCUUCUGAGCGAGACGGCGCUGCCACUUUCGAGUGUCUGCCUUAUCAGCUAUCAACCGUUCGUUAUGCGCGACCGAUGGCUUUGACGGGUAACGGGGAAUCAGGGUUCGAUUCCGGAGAGGCAGCCUGAGAGACGGCUACCACGUCCAAGGACGGCAGCAGGCACGCAAAUUACCCAAUCCCAGCAAAUGGGGGAGGUAGUGACGAAAUCUAACGAUGCGGGCGCCCUUUCUGGGGCCCCGCAAUCGGAAUGGGCACUUUCUAAACAACCUGUUGAGA